GACGUAGGGUGCGAGCGUUGUCCGGAUUUAUUGGGCGUAAAGAGCUCGUAGGCGGCUCGUCGCGUCGACCGUGAAAACCCGCGGCUUAACUGCGGGCUUGCGGUUGAUACGGGCGGGCUAGAGUUCGGUAGGGGAGACUGGAAUUCCUGGUGUAGCGGUGAAAUGCGCAGAUAUCAGGAGGAACACCGGUGGCGAAGGCGGCUCACUGGCCCGAUACUGACGCUGAGGUGCGAAAGCGUGGGGAGCAAACAGG
RNAcentral lists this ribosomal RNA (253 nucleotides) under uncultured bacterium. Its description in RNAcentral is "partial 16S ribosomal RNA". It matches the Rfam family "Bacterial small subunit ribosomal RNA", at positions 524 to 776 of the family's 1533-position model. The record is from RNAcentral.